This 84-nucleotide non-coding RNA is filed under the name unclassified sequences. The record is from Rfam.
AGUAUUUGAGGUAGAAAUUUGUGCUACUAUACACCUUGAUACAAGGUUUAAGAGAUGUGGGGAGGGGCACUCCCACCAAAUACU